UAAAGGUUUGGUCCUAGCCUUACUGUUAAUUAUAAUUAAACCUACACAUGCAAGUUUCCGCUGCCCAGUGAGAAUGCCCUCAAAAUUAUCCAAAAAUCAACAGGAGCAGGCAUCAGGCACACCAUAGGUAGCCCAUCACGCCUUGCUUAACCACACCCCACGGGAUACAGCAGUGAUUAACAUUAAGCCAUAAACGAAAGUUUGACUAAAUCAUAAUUAUUAGGGUUGGUAAAUUUCGUGCCAGCCACCGCGGCCAUACGAUUAACCCAAAUUAACAGAAAAACGGCGUAAAGUGUGUUUAAGCACUAACAACCAAUAAAGCUAAAAUUCAACUAAACUGUAAUACGCUAUAGUUGUCACCAAAAUACACAACGAAAGUGGCUUUAACUAUGCUGAAGACACUAUAGCUAAGAAACAAACUGGGAUUAGAGACCCCACUAUGCUUAGCCCUAAACCAAGAUAAUUCAAUAACAAUAUUAUUCGCCAGAGAACUACUAGCCAGCGCUUAAAACUCAAAGGACUUGGCGGUGCCCUAAACCCACCUAGAGGAGCCUGUUCUAUAAUCGAUAAACCCCGAUAAACCUCACCCAUUCUUGCCAAUACAGCCUAUAUACCGCCAUCGUCAGCUCACCCCAUAGGGGAAAAAAGUAAGCAAGAUCAUAAUCCAUAAAAACGUUAGGUCAAGGUGUAGCAUAUGAAUGGGAAAGAAAUGGGCUACAUUUUCUAAAUUAGAACAUAACGAACUACCUUAUGAAACCUAAGAUACUGAAGGAGGAUUUAGUAGUAAAUUAAGAAUAGAGAGCUUAAUUGAAACAGGCAAUAGGACGCGCACACACCGCCCGUCACCCUCCUCAAUUAAAACCUAAAAUAUAAAUAAUAAAACUCAAACAAAAAGAGGAGAAAAGUCGUAACAUGGUAAGUGUACUGGAAGGUGCACUUGGAAUAU
RNAcentral lists this non-coding RNA (946 nucleotides) under Trichosurus caninus (mountain brushtail possum). Its description in RNAcentral is "12S ribosomal RNA". It matches the Rfam family "Bacterial small subunit ribosomal RNA". Lineage: Eukaryota; Metazoa; Chordata; Mammalia; Diprotodontia; Phalangeridae. The record is from RNAcentral.